RNAcentral lists this ribosomal RNA (274 nucleotides) under uncultured bacterium. RNAcentral's name for it is "partial 16S ribosomal RNA". It matches the Rfam family "Bacterial small subunit ribosomal RNA", at positions 523 to 796 of the family's 1533-position model. The record is from RNAcentral.
AUACAGAGGGUGCGAGCGUUAAUCGGAAUUACUGGGCGUAAAGCGCGCGUAGGCGGCUACUUAAGUCAGAUGUGAAAUCCCCGGGCUCAACCUGGGAACUGCAUCUGAUACUGGGUAGCUAGAGUUUAGGAGAGGGAAGUAGAAUUUCAGGUGUAGCGGUGAAAUGCAUAGAGAUCUGAAGGAAUACCAGUGGCGAAGGCGGCUUCCUGGCCUAAAUCUGACGCUGAGGUGCGAAAGCGUGGGUAGCAAACGGGAUUAGAAACCCUUGUAGUCC